This 496-nucleotide ribosomal RNA is filed under the name uncultured bacterium. RNAcentral describes it as "partial 16S ribosomal RNA". It matches the Rfam family "Bacterial small subunit ribosomal RNA", at positions 29 to 507 of the family's 1533-position model. The record is from RNAcentral.
AUGAACGCUGGCGGCGUGCCUAAUACCUGCAAGUCGAGCGAACAGACGAGGAGCUUGCUCCUCUGACGUUAGCGGCGGACGGGUGAGUAACACGUGGAUAACCUACCUAUAAGACUGGGAUAACUUCGGGAAACCGGAGCUAAUACCGGAUAAUAUAUUGAACCGCAUGGUUCAAUAGUGAAAGACGGUUUUGCUGUCACUUAUAGAUGGAUCCGCGCCGCAUUAGCUAGUUGGUAAGGUAACGGCUUACCAAGGCGACGAUGCGUAGCCGACCUGAGAGGGUGAUCGGCCACACUGGAACUGAGACACGGUCCAGACUCCUACGGGAGGCAGCAGUAGGGAAUCUUCCGCAAAGGGCGAAAGCCUGACGGAGCAACGCCGCGUGAGUGAUGAAGGUCUUCGGAUCGUAAAACUCUGUUAUUAGGGAAGAACAAAUGUGUAAGUAACUAUGCACGUCUUGACGGUACCUAAUCAGAAAGCCACGGCUAACUACGUG